AUGCUCCUGCUAAAGAUCGACAUCGCCAAGGCUUUCGACACGGUGUCAUGGGAGUACAUCCUCGAGCUGCUGCAACGCAUGAACUUCCUGGCGCGCUGGAGAGACUGGAUCGCACUACUCCUCUCCACCGCGUCUUCCGCCUACCUGCUAAACGAAGACCCGGGCCCUGCGAUUCUUCAUCACCGAGGGCUGCGGCAAGGCGACCCGCUCUCGCCG
RNAcentral lists this ribosomal RNA (216 nucleotides) under Triticum aestivum (bread wheat). Its description in RNAcentral is "partial small subunit ribosomal RNA". Lineage: Eukaryota; Viridiplantae; Streptophyta; Magnoliopsida; Poales; Poaceae. The record is from RNAcentral.